This 440-nucleotide ribosomal RNA is filed under the name uncultured bacterium. RNAcentral's name for it is "partial 16S ribosomal RNA". It matches the Rfam family "Bacterial small subunit ribosomal RNA", at positions 338 to 795 of the family's 1533-position model. The record is from RNAcentral.
CCUACGGGUGGCAGCAGUGGGGAAUAUUGCACAAUGGGGGAAACCCUGAUGCAGUGACGCCGCGUGAGUGAAGAAGUAAUUCGUUAUGUAAAGCUCUAUCAGCAGGGAAGAAAAUGACGGUACCUGAGUAAGAAGCUCCGGCUAACUACGUUCCAGCAGCCGCGGCAACACGGAGGAGGCAAGCGUUAUCCGGAUUUACCGGGGGUAAAGGGAGUGUAGACGGCAGUGCAAGUCCGGAGUGAAAGGCGGGGGCUCAACCCCCGGACUGCCCUGGAAACUGUGCGGCUGGAGUGCAGGAGAGGUAGGUGGAAUUCCUAGUGUAGCGGUGAAAUGCGUAGAUAUUAGGAAGAACACCAGUGGCGAAGGCAGCUUACUGGACUGUAACUGACGUUGAGGCUCGAAAGCGUGGGGAGCAAACAGGAUUAGAUACCCGUGUAGUC